GAAUUGCAGAUAUUCGUGAAUCAUCGAAUCUUUGAACGCACAUUGCGCCCUCUGGUAUUCCGGAGGGCAUGCCUGUUUGAGCGUCGUU
Molecule: ribosomal RNA, 88 nt
Filed under: uncultured soil eukaryote
Lineage: Eukaryota
Description: partial 5.8S ribosomal RNA
Rfam family: 5.8S ribosomal RNA
About the family: 5.8S ribosomal RNA (5.8S rRNA) is a component of the large subunit of the eukaryotic ribosome. It is transcribed by RNA polymerase I as part of the 45S precursor that also contains 18S and 28S rRNA.
Source: RNAcentral